This is a non-coding RNA of Pocillopora verrucosa, 2256 nucleotides long. The record is from RefSeq and is a predicted model, not a curated record. NCBI's taxonomy places the organism in Eukaryota, Metazoa, Cnidaria, Anthozoa, Scleractinia, Pocilloporidae.
AUCCAGAUUCGUUGAAGUUAAGAACUCAGAUUUUUCUUAAAACAAUGUCUUCUUUCUGAUUGGCCAAGACUAGCUCUCAACCCAGUUUCUUAGCAGCCACAUUCAAAAUGGCGGACGAGCUGCCACGAGUUCAGGACUGAAAGAACCGAUGUCGCACUGAAUAGUCAGUUUAUUUUGACAAUUGUGUUACAUUUGAUGACGGAUGAUGAUGACCAAUCCUAAAAAUCGUCUAAUCUUCACUUUGUACAUCGGAUGUGUUCAGUAACGUCUUUCUACCAUGUUGAAAUUCUAAUGUUUACCAGGAACCCCUCGACAGAAGAUGUAAAACAGUUGGAUUCCCUCUUGAACUCAAGACGUGUUGCGGAAACGGGAAGGGCAAGAAAUGGCCACUAAGAAAUGUAGGAACAAAGAGGACUGUAUGACUGAUGAAAUGAAAAUGUUUCAAAGAAUUACUACGGAGGAUGCUACGCCUAAACAAGUGAGUAAUAGGGCAUAAAGAUGGUUUCUGGGAAAACGUCGUGGUCAAUUUAGCAAUGGCAAAGAAGAAGUUUGAAAGACUGCUCAUUCACAAACUCAUUUGAGCCAUAUUUAAGGAACUUCUUCAUGGACUUACUCAGCUAUUGUUCUCAACUGAGGCCCUUGACCUAUUGUCAGAAUUAAAAAAAAAAAAAAAGAUUUUGAGUUAUAAAAAAAACAUUAUUACUUCAUGAUCUCGUGGUCGACUCAAAUGCAUUUUGUUGAAAGUGAAUCAUAAGAAUAAUUUAAAUGUUUCAAGAGAGAAUAAAGGCCAUUAUUUUCUCUUGACUAUUUCAAGUGUUAUUGUCAGUGAGAAAAUUUCCCAGAAAGUGGAGACAUGGAGUAGCCUAUGUGUAGCCGUACCCUACCCUCGCCAAGUACGACUACACGUAGGCUAGGCGUGGAUUAACCAAUUUUGAAGAAACUUACUGCCGAGGAUGGCCUUAAUAAGAUGAUCGAAAAGCCUAAAAGCUGUUGGCCUUAUAAAAAUAAUCUUAUUUCUAUUCAGAAGAGUCCAAAAUAAGCGCGUAAACUUGUGGAAUAUUGGGAAAACUGCUCUAAAGUUCUGGGUGCUUUCGAUUGGUAAAUCCGGAUUAAAAUUUUGAAAUAGAGAUAACGGAUUUUGUUGUAAGAAAUGAAGAGCGAAAACGGAUUUCGACGCUGAAAAAUCUGUCCUUUUUUUCUUUUUAUAGCCAACGGUUAACCUCAGUGAGACCCCUCUUAGAGGAGAUCCUUUUUGGAUUUCCCGGAAAAACGCAAAACAUAAAAAUUCAUGAGAUCCGGAGCUGGAUCUCUUAAUUGAGAUCCACUUUGAGAAUGGAUUUCUCAGCGUUGAAAAUCGUUUUUGGAUUUCAUGUUUUACCGAAAAUUCCGAAUUCCCGAUUUCAAAAUCAAAAUCCAGAUUCGCAACAGUUAAGCACCCGGAUUUCUCUGAACACGGCGUCUUCUUUCUGAUUGGCCUAGACUUGCUUUCGACCCAGUUUCUUAGCAGCCACGUUGAAAAUGGCGGACGAGCUGCCGUGAAUUUAGAACUGAAUCAAUGUCGCACUGAAGAGUCGGUUUGUUUCGACAAUAUUGUGGUACAUUUGAUGACGGAUGAUGACGAAUGAUGAAGACCUGUUCUAAAAACUCGUCUGAUCUUCACCUUGUACAUCGGAUGUGUUAAGUAACGUCUUUCUACCAUGAUGAAAUUCUAAUGUUUACUAGGAACCCUUCGAAAGGUUCUACAGACAAGUUACAGAGCAUAGUAAAUAAGUACCAUUGGAAUCACUCACUAUUCUGGAAAGUUGAUUGAUUAACACUGUGAGCUUGAAGAACCACAACAGACAGAAUUGCCCUUAUGAUACUUUCACAGAAGAUGAAAAACAGUUGGAUUCCCUUUAGGACAUGUAUAAAUCAGCUCAGGACGUGUUGCAGAAACAGGAAGAGCAAGAAAUGGCCAUUAAGAAAUGUAGGAACAAAGUGGAUGACUGAUGAAAUGACAAUGUUUCAAAGAAUUAUUACAAAGGAUGCUACACCUAAACAAGGCAUAAAGAUGGUUUCUGGGAAAACGUCGUGGUCAAUUUAGCAAUGGCAAAGAAGAAGCUUGAAAAAUGCUAAUACACAAAUUCAUUUGAGCCAUAUUUGAGAAACUUCUUCAUAGACUUCUACAGCUUUUGUUCUCAACUGAGGCCCUUGACCUAGUGUCAGAGUUAAAAAAAAGGUUUUGCUUUAUAAAUAAAUCAUUAUUACUUCAUGAUC